Drosophila mojavensis is the source of this 1010-nucleotide long non-coding RNA. RefSeq lists it as uncharacterized. The transcript is spliced from 2 exons. Lineage: Eukaryota; Metazoa; Arthropoda; Insecta; Diptera; Drosophilidae. The record is from RefSeq and is a predicted model, not a curated record.
UUUUUGUUGAAAAGAGUCAACUUGAAAAUACCCUGUGUCCAAAGCCAAGUUGGACAAACGGAAGUGGGUGACUUUGAUUUAUGAUACUAAUUCAACUUAAAUUUAAAAAUUAUUCUUUUUUUAUAUUUUAUGCCCUAUCAAAUGCAACUCGACCGAUACAGCUCUUCCCACAUUCUCAAGAGUAUAUAAUAAUUAAAGCCGAUUCGAAGCACUAGAAAUCAAAACGAUAGAAAGCAAAAGAAAAGCAAACACAAACUUUUGUAAAAAAAAAAAAAUAAGCAAAAUGAAAAACAAAACAUUUUUGGAGUAAAAAGCACAUUAGACGAACGUAGUUGAAAGAAUAUUGCGACGUCUUCAAUCUAAACUCGUAAUUGCCCCGUCUACAAUUUAAUGAACGUUGUGCUAUGGCGUCUGCUUGGGAAAGUUGACAGUUUCAGUGCAAUUGCUGUUUCCACUGGAAAAUUGGGUGUGCAUGUGUGCAUGUGUGUGUUUUACACACACAGGCAUGUCUAUAUAUCAUGUGGAUGUCUACUUUCUAAAUAGUACUUAGCACUUUCAAUUGUACAUAGAGCAUAGCCAUAAAUAGCUGUAAAACAACAGACGAGAACCUCGACUGUGUAAUAGGCGCUAAUCAAGCAGCUGGCCAAAAAGUAAAUGUCUGCCAUUAAUUGCUCAAUUGUCACAGCAGCCGAGCUGUCUUUGGCUGGCGAGUUGAAUAAACCUCUUGAGCUACAGCUUGAACUUUGGCAACUGCUUCAGCGAGACGAUGCCACACCCACCAUAAGCCAGCACUGAAGUUGCCAUUUAGGUGGCCAGAAAAACAAGUUUCAAGAACGCAAAAGCCAAUUAGGAUGCCUUAAUGCUGAUCUUUCGUUCGCUGCAUUGAGCAAUCAAAUUAUAAAUAUCAAGUCGAGUGAUAGAGGAAGGCCGAAAAGUUUCGUUACAAAUAUUUUUUGACAACUUGAAAUUGUUGAAUGCACUUAAUAAAUUUUACAUUUAAAUAUAGCUCA